RNAcentral lists this unclassified non-coding RNA (290 nucleotides) under plant metagenome. RNAcentral describes it as "partial contains small subunit ribosomal RNA, internal transcribed spacer 1, and 5.8S ribosomal RNA". The stretch from base 1 to 53 matches the Rfam family "Eukaryotic small subunit ribosomal RNA", at positions 1778 to 1831 of the family's 1831-position model. The record is from RNAcentral.
GGAAGUAAAAGUGUAACAAGGUUUCCGUAGGUGAACCUGCGGAAGGAUCAUUAAUGUGUUGUCAUGGGGUUCGAUGCUGGCAGCCAAUUUUUGGAUGCAUGUGCUUGCCCUAACAAUCAUCUUCCAAACACCUGUGCACAUUUUUGAGGGAGUCUUGAGUUGGUUGCCGCUCUUGGGUGAUUUUCUCACAUUCCCUUAAAUCAUUAUACGCUAUUAACAAUGUUGAACGUGCUCUGUGCCGCAAGGCUAUUAAUAUAAUACAACUUUUAACAACGGAUCUCUUGGCUCUC